RNAcentral lists this ribosomal RNA (464 nucleotides) under uncultured bacterium. RNAcentral's name for it is "partial 16S ribosomal RNA". It matches the Rfam family "Bacterial small subunit ribosomal RNA", at positions 338 to 795 of the family's 1533-position model. The record is from RNAcentral.
CCUACGGGAGGCUGCAGUAGGGAAUCUUCCACAAUGGGCGAAAGCCUGAUGGAGCAACGCCGCGUGGGUGAAGAAGGUCUUCGGAUCGUAAAACCCUGUUGUUAGAGAAGAAAGUGCGUGAGAGUAACUGUUCACGUUUCGACGGUAUCUAACCAGAAAGCCACGGCUAACUACGUGCCAGCAGCCGCGGUAAUACGUAGGUGGCAAGCGUUAUCCGGAUUUAUUGGGUUUAAAGGGUGCGUAGGCGGACAGUCAAGUCAGCGGUAAAAAUGCGGUGCUCAACGCCGUACAGCCGUUGAAACUGGCAGUCUUGAGUGGGCGAGAAGUAUGCGGAAGGCGUGGUGUAGCGGUUAAAUGCAGAGAUAUCACGCAGAACUCCGAUUGCGAAGGCAGCAUACCGGCGCCCGACUGAUGCUGAGGCACGAAAGCGUGGGUAUCGAACAGGAUUAGAUACCCCUGUAGUC